Molecule: ribosomal RNA, 492 nt
Filed under: uncultured bacterium
Lineage: Bacteria
Description: partial 16S ribosomal RNA
Rfam family: Bacterial small subunit ribosomal RNA
Source: RNAcentral
AGUGAACGCUGGCGGCAGGCCUAACACAUGCAAGUCGAACGGCAGCACAGUAAGAGCUUGCUCUUACGGGUGGCGAGUGGCGGACGGGUGAGGAAUACAUCGGAAUCUACUUUUUCGUGGGGGAUAACGUAGGGAAACUUACGCUAAUACCGCAUACGACCUACGGGUGAAAGCAGGGGAUCUUCGGACCUUGCGCGAUUGAUUGAGCCGAUGUCGGAUUAGCUAGUUGGGGGGGUAAAGGCCCACCAAGGCGACGAUCCGUAGCUGGUCUGAGAGGAUGAUCAGCCACACUGGAACUGAGACACGGUCCAGACUCCUACGGGAGGCAGCAGUGAGGAAUAUUGGACAAUGGGCGCAAGCCUGAUCCAGCCAUACCGCGUGGGUGAAGAAGGCCUUCGGGUUGUAAAGCCCUGUUGUUGGGAAAGAAAAGCAGCAGGUUAAUACCCCGCUGUUCUGACGGUACCCAAAGAAUAAGCACCGGCUAACUUCGUG